RNAcentral lists this ribosomal RNA (442 nucleotides) under uncultured organism. Its description in RNAcentral is "bacterial SSU rRNA". It matches the Rfam family "Bacterial small subunit ribosomal RNA", at positions 346 to 781 of the family's 1533-position model. The record is from RNAcentral.
UCGCAGCAGGCGAGAAUUUUUCUCAAUGGGGGAAACCCUGAAGGAGCGACGCCGCGUGGAGGAUGAAGGCUUUCGGGUUGUAAACUCCUGUCAUUUGAGAACAAGUGGCCGAACGUAACUACUUCGGCCUUGAUAGUAUCAGAAGAGGAAGGGACGGCUAACUCUGUGCCAGCAGCCGCGGUAAUACAGAGGUCUCAAGCGUUGUUCGGAUUCAUUGGGCGUAAAGGGUGCGUAGGUGGCGCCGUAAGUCGGGUGUGAAAUUUCGGAGCUUAACUCCGAAACUGCAUUCGAUACUGCGGUGCUUGAGGACUGGAGAGGAGACUGGAAUUUACGGUGUAGCAGUGAAAUGCGUAGAGAUCGUAAGGAAGACCAGUGGCGAAGGCGGGUCUCUGGACAGUUCCUGACACUGAGGCACGAAGGCCAGGGGAGCAAACGGGAUUAG